Molecule: small nuclear RNA, 151 nt
Filed under: Kryptoperidinium foliaceum
Lineage: Eukaryota; Dinophyceae; Peridiniales; Kryptoperidiniaceae
Description: partial Dictyostelium signal recognition particle
Source: RNAcentral
ACAUGAAGAUUAACAAACCACUGAUACAAGGCAGCCAGCAAGUAAUAAAUCAAGAGAAGGAUUCGAUGCAUCACGAACACGAGGCAGGCGAGGUGAAGGAUGGUGACAAGGCCAACGCUAUGCUUGGUAUUGGGGAGCGAGCGAAAGACGC